RNAcentral lists this ribosomal RNA (384 nucleotides) under uncultured bacterium. Its description in RNAcentral is "bacterial SSU rRNA". It matches the Rfam family "Bacterial small subunit ribosomal RNA", at positions 29 to 423 of the family's 1533-position model. The record is from RNAcentral.
AAUCAACGCUGGCGGCGCGCCUAACACAUGCAAGUCGAACGAGAAAGCAGGAGCAAUCUUGUGAGUAAAGUGGCGUACGGGUGAGUAACACGUGGAUCAUCUACCCUUUUGUGGGGAUAACUCUGGGAAACCGGAGCUAAUACCGCAUAAGCUCGAGAGAGGAAAGCAGCAAUGCGCAGGAGGAGGAGUCCGCGGCCGAUUAGCUAGUUGGUAGGGUAAAAGCCACCAAGGCAACGAUCGGUAGCCGGCCUGAGAGGGCACACGGCCACACUGGCACUGAAACACGGGCCAGACUCCUACGGGAGGCAGCAGUGGGGAAUCUUGCACAAUGGGGGCAACCCCUGAUGCAGCGACGCCGCGUGAGCGAUGAAGCCCCUUCGGGGG